Molecule: ribosomal RNA, 433 nt
Filed under: uncultured bacterium
Lineage: Bacteria
Description: partial 16S ribosomal RNA
Rfam family: Bacterial small subunit ribosomal RNA
Source: RNAcentral
AACGAACGCUGGCGGCAGGCUUAACACAUGCAAGUCGAACGGAACCUUCGGGAUUAGUGGCAGACGGGUGAGUAACGCGUGGGAACGUACCCUUUGCUACGGAAUAACUCAGGGAAACUUGAGCUAAUACCGUAUGUGCUCUACGGGGGAAAGAUUUAUCGGCAAAGGAUCGGCCCGCGUUGGAUUAGCUAGUUGGUGGGGUAAUGGCCUACCAAGGCGACGAUCCAUAGCUGGUCUGAGAGGAUGAUCAGCCACACUGGGACUGAGACACGGCCCAGACUCCUACGGGAGGCAGCAGUGGGGAAUAUUGGACAAUGGGCGCAAGCCUGAUCCAGCCAUGCCGCGUGAGUGAUGAAGGUCUUAGGAUUGUAAAGCUCUUUCACCGGUGAAGAUAAUGACGGUAGCCGGAGAAGAAGCCCCGGCUAACUUCGUG